This 463-nucleotide ribosomal RNA is filed under the name Peptostreptococcaceae bacterium canine oral taxon 333. RNAcentral describes it as "bacterial SSU rRNA". It matches the Rfam family "Bacterial small subunit ribosomal RNA", at positions 9 to 455 of the family's 1533-position model. Lineage: Bacteria; Bacillati; Bacillota; Clostridia; Peptostreptococcales; Peptostreptococcaceae. The record is from RNAcentral.
GAGUUUGAUUAUGGCUCAGGAUGAACGCUGGCGGCGUGCCUAACACAUGCAAGUCGAGCGAGAAGCUGUUUAAUGAAACUUCGGUAGAUUUAAAAAGUGGAAAGCGGCGGACGGGUGAGUAACGCGUGGGCAACCUGCCUUACACAGAGGGAUAGCCAUUGGAAACGAUGAUUAAAACCUCAUAACGCUUUUUUAGCACAUGCUGAGGAAGCCAAAGAUUUAUCGGUGUAAGAUGGGCCCGCGUCUGAUUAGUUAGUUGGUGAGGUAACGGCUCACCAAGACAGCGAUCAGUAGCCGACCUGAGAGGGUGAUCGGCCACAUUGGAACUGAGACACGGUCCAAACUCCUACGGGAGGCAGCAGUGGGGAAUAUUGCACAAUGGGCGAAAGCCUGAUGCAGCAACGCCGCGUGAAGGAAGAAGGCCUUCGGGUCGUAAACUUCUGUCCAAAAGGAAGAAAAAAAU